This 627-nucleotide unclassified non-coding RNA is filed under the name Hevea brasiliensis (rubber tree). The record is from RNAcentral. Lineage: Eukaryota; Viridiplantae; Streptophyta; Magnoliopsida; Malpighiales; Euphorbiaceae.
UUGCCAUCACCGUAGAUUUGGAACUUAUCGAGCGGUGGAUGAACCUCUGAGGGGUGAGUAUUGUCAAAGUAGGGCCAUGAAGCAAUAGAAUUGCAACAAAUGUAGGUGAAAGGUAUACCGUACUCUUCAAUCAAGUCUCUAACCUUGCGCUUCUCAAUGUACAUUCGGAGACCAGGCUCCACCGGCUCUGUCCUGUUCACGUCGUGCCCAAAUUCCGAUGGCAAAAAUCUCUUAACAGUGCCCACAGCUUUAAUAGCUUCGACAAGAGGAAGCUGAUCCAAUAUUUUCUCACCACCUACAGCUGAUAUUACUAUUUCAAUCUUAUGCUCUUUAAGUAUCUUCUCCAUCUUUUCCUUUUGAUUAAUCAAUCCGUGCAAGACUUUGGCUCCCUUCUCCUCAAGAGACCUGAGAACUUUAGCCUUAGAAGGGCAAGUAGGAGUGGAGCGGACAAGAACAUAGGUCGGUCUACCGGAGGCUAAGCAGGCAUCAGCUACAAAAUGACCUAUAAAACCAGUUGCUCCGGCGAUGAGGACUGGACUCUUCACUUUGGGAACAGAAGUUGCAGGAAUAGUCAUGCUGGUUGAACCAAAGUAUUGUUUGUGUCUGAAUACGAAAAGGGGUUGGGUU